AUGGAGUACACAUUCAGGGGAGUGACAAAGACCAAGGAAUGCUUUAGGAGGGUUUUUGUCUGCUUUGAGGCUUGUCGCCGGGGUUUUUUGGCAGGCUGCAGGCCUUAUUUGGCUAUUGAUGCCACUUUUCUCACAGGGAGGUUUAAAGGACAGUUAGUAGCAGCUUGUGUAGUUGAUGCACACAAUUUUGUAUUUCUAGUUGCCUACGGUGUGCUGGAGACAGAAUCUGAGGAGAGUUGGACUUGGUUUUUGCAUAAUCUGCGACGGGCUAUUGCACAUCCCAAUGGGUUGGUCAUUCAUACACAUGCCUGUAAAGGUUUAGAAGUGGUCGUGGACAAUGUGUUUCCUGGAGUAGAGCAUAGGGAAUGCAUGCGUCACCUUGCUGCAAAUUUCAUGAAGAAAUUCAAAGGAAAGGUGUAUACCGACAAUUUAUGGCCAGCAUCUUUGACUUGCAGUGUGAAGAAGCACAAGUACCACUUGAGACAGUUAUACAUGAAUCCCAAAGUGAAAGAAUACUUGGAAACACACCACUCCAAGUUAUGGGACAGAAGCCAAUUCAGUGAACUGAUCAAAGUUGACUAUGUGCACAAUAAUCUAGCAGAGUCUUUCAACUCAACGAUCCGGAAA
Molecule: ribosomal RNA, 627 nt
Filed under: Triticum aestivum (bread wheat)
Lineage: Eukaryota; Viridiplantae; Streptophyta; Magnoliopsida; Poales; Poaceae
Description: partial small subunit ribosomal RNA
Source: RNAcentral